CUGGCUCAGGAUGAACGCUGGCGGCGUGCCUAAUACAUGCAAGUCGAACGAAACUUCUUUAUCACCGAGUGCUUGCACUCACCGGUAAAGGGUUGAGUGGCGAACGGGUGAGUAACACGUGGGCAACCUGCCCAAAAGAGGGGGAUAACACUUGGAAACAGGUGCUAAUACCGCAUAACCAUAGUUACCGCAUGGUAGCUAUGUAAAAGGUGGCUAUGCUACCGCUUUUGGAUGGGCCCGCGGCGCAUUAGCUAGUUGGUGGGGUAAAGGCUUACCAAGGCAAUGAUGCGUAGCCGAACUGAGAGGUUGAUCGGCCACAUUGGGACUGAGACACGGCCCAAACUCCUACGGGAGGCAGCAGUAGGGAAUCUUCCACAAUGGGCGAAAGCCUGAUGGAGCAACGCCGCGUGGGUGAAGAAGGUCUUCGGAUCGUAAAACCCUGUUGUUAGAGAAGAAAGUGCGUGAGAGUAACUGUUCACGUUUCGACGGUAUCUAACCAGAAAGCCACGGCUAACUACGUGCCAGCAGCCGCGGUAAUACGUAGGUGGCAAGCGUUAUCCGGAUUUAUUGGGCGUAAAGGGAACGCAGGCGGUCUUUUAAGUCUGAUGUGAAAGCCUUCGGCUUAACCGGAGUAGUGCAUUGGAAACUGGGAGACUUGAGUGCAGAAGAGGAGAGUGGAACUCCAUGUGUAGCGGUGAAAUGCGUAGAUAUAUGGAAGAACACCAGUGGCGAAAGCGGCUCUCUGGUCUGUAACUGACGCUGAGGUUCGAAAGCGUGGGUAGCAAACAGGAUUAGAUACCCUGGUAGUCCACGCCGUAAACGAUGAAUGUUAAGUGUUGGAGGGUUUCCGCCCUUCAGUGCUGCAGCUAACGCAAUAAGCAUCCGCCUGGGGAGUCGGCCGGCAUGGUUGAACUCAAAGGAAUUGUCGGGGCCCGCUCAAGCGGUGGAGCAUGUGGUUUAAUUCGAAGCAACGCGAAGAACCUCACCAGGUCUUGACAUCUUAUGACAAUCCUAGAGAUAGGACUUUCCCUUCGGGGACAAAAUGACAGGUGGUGCAUGGUCGUCGUCAGCUCGUGUCGUGAGAUGUUGGGUUAAGUCCCGCAACGAGCGCAACCCUUAUUGUUAGUUGCCAGCAUUAAGUUGGGCACUCUAGCAAGACUGCCGGUGACAAACCGGAGGAAGGUGGGGAUGACGUCAAAUCAUCAUGCCCCUUAUGAUCUGGGCUACACACGUGCUACAAUGGACGGUACAACGAGUCGCAAGACCGCGAGGUUUAGCAAAUCUCUUAAAGCCGUUCUCAGUUCGGAUUGUAGGCUGCAACUCGCCUACAUGAAGUCGGAAUCGCUAGUAAUCGCGGAUCAGCAUGCCGCGGUAAAUACGUUCCCGGGCCUUGUACACACCGCCCGUCACACCAUGAGAGUUUGUAACACCCAAAGCCGGUGGGGUAACCUUUUGGAGCCAGCCGUCUAAGGUGGGACAGAUGACU
Molecule: ribosomal RNA, 1486 nt
Filed under: uncultured bacterium
Lineage: Bacteria
Description: 16S ribosomal RNA
Rfam family: Bacterial small subunit ribosomal RNA
Source: RNAcentral